GUGGGGAAUAUUGGACAAUGGGCGAAAGCCUGAUCCAGCCAUGCCGCGUGUGUGAAGAAGGUCUUCGGAUUGUAAAGCACUUUAAGUUGGGAGGAAGGGCAGUAAGUUAAUACCUUGCUGUUUUGACGUUACCAACAGAAUAAGCACCGGCUAACUUCGUGCCAGCAGCCGCGGUAAUACGAAGGGUGCAAGCGUUAAUCGGAAUUACUGGGCGUAAAGCGCGCGUAGGUGGUUUUGUAAGUUAGGAGUGAAAGCCCAGGGCUCAACCUUGGAAUUGCUCUUAAAACUGCAAGGCUCGAAUCUCGGAGAGGAUAGCGGAAUUUCCAGUGUAGCAGUGAAAUGCGUAGAUAUUGGAAGGAACACCAGUGGCGUAAGCGGCUAUCUGGACGAGUAUUGACGCUGAGGCACGAAAGCGUGGGGAUCAAACAGGAUUAGAAACCCGGGUAGUCC
This 450-nucleotide ribosomal RNA is filed under the name uncultured bacterium. RNAcentral's name for it is "bacterial SSU rRNA". It matches the Rfam family "Bacterial small subunit ribosomal RNA", at positions 354 to 796 of the family's 1533-position model. The record is from RNAcentral.